Molecule: ribosomal RNA, 253 nt
Filed under: uncultured bacterium
Lineage: Bacteria
Description: partial 16S ribosomal RNA
Rfam family: Bacterial small subunit ribosomal RNA
Source: RNAcentral
UACGUAGGGGGCUAGCGUUGUCCGGAAUCAUUGGGCGUAAAGCGCGUGUAGGCGGUUCGGUAAGUCCGCUGUGAAAGUCGGGGGCUCAACCCUCGAAUGCCGGUGGAUACUGUCGGACUAGAGUACGGAAGAGGCGAGUGGAAUUCCUGGUGUAGCGGUGAAAUGCGCAGAUAUCAGGAGGAACACCAAUGGCGAAGGCAGCUCGCUGGAACGGUACUGACGCUGAGGCGCGAAAGCGUGGGGAGCAAACAGG